AUCAUGGUGACCACGGCAAUCAGAGUUUGAUUCCAGAGAGGGAGCUUGAGAGACGGCUACUACAUCCAAGGAAGGCAGCAGGCAUUGAAAUUGCGCACUCCUGACUCAGGGAUGUAGUCAUGGCAUAUCACGAUACAGGACUCUUCCAAGGCCCAGUAAUUUGAAAGAGUACACUUCUAGUCCUUUAACGGGAGUCCACUGGAGUGUCGGGCCCAGGCUCUGAGAGCCACAGGGGCUAAGACGUGAGGAGUAGGAGGGCUGCUGUGGUGCGCACCCAAGCCAAGGGCAAGGGCCGAGGUGGAGGCACUGCAAGUGCAGUUCUUGGUGGUAGCAGCAAAUAUUCAAACAAGAACUUGGAAGGAUAAAGUGGAGUAUGGUUCCAUGAGCACAACAGUUGGACAUGGGUCAGUCGGUCCUAACAGAUGGCGAGUGUUGUUUGGAAGGGACGGACAGCAGCCUCCACUGCUCUCAGCCGAUUGAAAGUGAGUCAGGUUCAGAUGUCAGAACCCGGAGUGGAAUCCAAGUGAUUUGACCGUAUGAAAAAUUAUCGAGGCUGAAAUAUCCGAAAACAAAGUGCUCUAAUGACCAAAAGUUCGAACACUUUGUUUUCGGGCAUUUCAGCCCCGAUAAUUUGUUAAAACACACAUUCUCUCACACACACACAACACACCCAUGACACCCCCCCACACCCCACGCAUACCCCUCCCACACCACCAACAUAAAGAAACCCCACUUACCUUCACCUUCACGCUGGUUCCUGCAGCGCCAGUUCCCUUUCACUUCUGUGAUUGGGAACUGGCGCUGCAGGGUCCUUUUCUUUUCUUUUCUUGUUUUUUUUUUUAUUCACAGACGGCUGCAGGGGUGUCCCCCGCAUCCCCACAGACGCCAUUUUUUUUUUUUUUUUCCACGGGCGGUGGCAGGGGUGUCCCCCGCAGCCCCCGCUCACUAUACCAUAAAGUAUAGUGAGCGGGGCAAUGCGGGGGACACCCCAGCAGCCCCCGUUUUUUUUUAAUGCUACCACCAGAGGAUCGAACUUUUGGUGUUAGAUCCUUUGGUGGUAGCAUUUUUAGAACUUUUGCUCGUUUCGACCUUUUUUUUUCAGUCAUUUCGACCUAAACCCCGGAGUGGGGUAGACAGGUCCCCUCAUGGCAUCCAUUGAAGUAACACAAACGAUCUGGGAGAAGCCAGAAGGAGCACCAUGGAGAGUUCUCUUUUCCUUAUGAAGGGCAGGGCACCCUGGAAUGGGUUUGCCCCAAGAGGGGGGCCUUAGUCUUGGUAAGCUUUGCGGUGCUGGAGGCAUCUACUGAGCUCUCGCUGCUCCUUGGGGGAUGAAGGUGUAAACCUCAUACCAGACCAUACCCAUCUCCACAGCUGGCCUCCGAGGUGAACAGCCUCUGGCAUGUUGGAACAAUGUUGGUAAGGGAGGUUGGCAAUUUGUAUCCAGAACUUUGGCAUGAGGAUUGGCUCUAAUCGCAGGGUCGGGUAGGCUGUCGUGCAAAGCGGGGCUGGGCAUGCACCAAGUCCGGAUGAGGCGCCUCAAUCCUAGGGGUGGAGCCAUCUUUGGAUAAUAGCUGAGCCCUUCCUGUGGAUCGCCCCAGCCGUGGUGGUGGACUCUGUGUGUUCUCGUCUGGUGUCGUGCCUCGGCCAAUGCCUAGCAGUGUUCCAGGUGAAUAUGGCUGUUUAAGUUCAACAAAGCAAUGCGAAAGACUGCAGCAGGUGUUGACGCAAUGUGAUUUCUGCCCAGUGCUAUGUUUAUCAAAGUGUAGUGAUUCAAUGAAGCGCGCGUAAACAGCAGGACUAACUAUGAAUCUCUUAAGGUAGCCAAAUGCCUCGUCAUCUAAUAGUGACACACAUGAAUGAAUGAUUGUGAUUCACACUGUCCCUACCUACUAUAUAGCAAAACCACAUCCAAGGCCACAGGCUUGGCAGAAUCAGCAGGGAAAUGGGACCCUGUUGAGCAUGACCCUAGUCUGGCACUGUGAAGAGACGUGAGAGGCAUGGGAUAAUUGGGCAGUCCUCAGACCACCAGUGAAAUACCACCACUCAAAUUGCUUAUUUCACUAAGGGCGGGGGUCAACCCCUGUGGAGCUCUCACUUUGGCCUGCUAGCACUCGUCAUCCUGCUUGGGGGACAGUGGCAGGUGGGGAGUGUGACUGGAGUGGUACACCUGUCAAAUAAUUAUGCAGUUAUCCUAAGGCAAGCUCAUGGAGGACUGAAACCUCCAGCGGAGCAGACUGCCAAAAGCUCAUUUGAUCUCGUUUUCCAGCUUGAAUACAGAUUGUGAAAGCGGGGCCUCACAAUCCUUCUGACUUGUUGGGUUUGAAGCAGGAGGUAUCAGAUAAGUUACCACAGAGAUGCCAGGCUUGUGGCAGCCAAGCGUUCAUAGAGACGCCGCUUUUUGAUCCUUCAAUAUCAACCCUUCUAAUAAAUGUAAUGCAGAAUUUAGCAUUCGUUGGUUUGUUCACUUACUAAUAGGGAACGUGGGCAGGGUUUACACCAUUAUGAGACAGAUAGUUUACACCCUACUGUGUUGUUGAAAUGGUAAUCCUGCUCAGUACGAGAGGAACGGCAGGUUCAGACUUUGGUUUAUGUACUUGAUUGAGGAGUCAAUGGGGUGAAGCUAUUCUCUGUGGGAUGGUGAGGGGACGCCUCUAAAUCAGAAUCCCCUAUACACUGUAACAAUACCGCAGGACUGUGGAGCCUCGGGUGGCCUAGGAUAGCCAGACUCUGGGCUGGUGCAUAGAUCUGUUUGCCUCGGGACAAGUGUUUAGAAAGUGUGAGGAAUCUGAGGGCAUCCUCACUUCUUUGCCAAAAAUAUCCACU
Molecule: ribosomal RNA, 2823 nt
Filed under: Ambystoma mexicanum (axolotl)
Lineage: Eukaryota; Metazoa; Chordata; Amphibia; Caudata; Ambystomatidae
Description: eukaryotic LSU rRNA
Rfam family: Eukaryotic large subunit ribosomal RNA
Source: RNAcentral